This 28-nucleotide non-coding RNA is filed under the name Bombyx mori (domestic silkworm). Lineage: Eukaryota; Metazoa; Arthropoda; Insecta; Lepidoptera; Bombycidae. The record is from RNAcentral.
AAAGUCGAAAACACACAACAUGGCGGAC